GUCCUAGCUGUAAACGAUGGGCACUGGGUAGAGGGGUGUCGAUAUUCUCUCUGCCGAAGCAAAUGUGUUAAGUGCCCCGCCUGGGGAGUACGGUCGCAAGGCUAAAACUCAAAGGAAUUGACGGGGGCUCACACAAGCGGUGGAGCAUGUGGUUCAAUUCGAAGCAACGCGAAGAACCUUACCCGGGUUUGAAAUCCACGGAUGGGUCUGAUGAAAGUCGGAUACUCUGCCCGCAAGGGUGAAACGUGGACAGGUGUUGCAUGGCUGUCGU
RNAcentral lists this ribosomal RNA (271 nucleotides) under uncultured bacterium. Its description in RNAcentral is "partial 16S ribosomal RNA". It matches the Rfam family "Bacterial small subunit ribosomal RNA", at positions 793 to 1055 of the family's 1533-position model. The record is from RNAcentral.